This 392-nucleotide ribosomal RNA is filed under the name Edwardsiella tarda. Its description in RNAcentral is "bacterial SSU rRNA". It matches the Rfam family "Bacterial small subunit ribosomal RNA", at positions 1056 to 1448 of the family's 1533-position model. The record is from RNAcentral. Lineage: Bacteria; Pseudomonadati; Pseudomonadota; Gammaproteobacteria; Enterobacterales; Hafniaceae.
CAGCUCGUGUUGUGAAAUGUUGGGUUAAGUCCCGCAACGAGCGCAACCCUUAUCCUUUGUUGCCAGCGGUUCGGCCGGGAACUCAAAGGAGACUGCCAGUGAUAAACUGGAGGAAGGUGGGGAUGACGUCAAGUCAUCAUGGCCCUUACGAGUAGGGCUACACACGUGCUACAAUGGCGUAUACAAAGAGAAGCGACCUCGCGAGAGCAAGCGGACCUCAUAAAGUACGUCGUAGUCCGGAUUGGAGUCUGCAACUCGACUCCAUGAAGUCGGAAUCGCUAGUAAUCCUGGAUCAGAAUGCCACGGUGAAUACGUUCCCGGGCCUUGUACACACCGCCCGUCACACCAUGGGAAUGGGUUGCAAAAAAAAUAACUAACUUAACCUUCCGGAG